GAGCGUUGAAAAGCUCGGGGAUGACUUGUGGGUAGCGGUGAAAUUCCAAUCGAGCCCGGAGAUAGCUGGUUCUCCCCGAAAUAGCUUUAGGGCUAGCCUCAAGGGGAGAGAUACGGAGGUAGAGCACUGAAUGUCCUAGGGGGUAUUGCACCUACCGAAGACUAUCAAACUCCGAAUGCCGUCAUCUUAUACUUGGGAGUCAG
This 203-nucleotide ribosomal RNA is filed under the name Clostridioides difficile. RNAcentral describes it as "partial 23S ribosomal RNA". It matches the Rfam family "Bacterial large subunit ribosomal RNA", at positions 784 to 987 of the family's 2925-position model. The record is from RNAcentral. Lineage: Bacteria; Bacillati; Bacillota; Clostridia; Peptostreptococcales; Peptostreptococcaceae.